Non-coding RNA from Biomphalaria pfeifferi, 615 nucleotides. The record is from the annotation of a GenBank genome assembly. NCBI's taxonomy places the organism in Eukaryota, Metazoa, Mollusca, Gastropoda, Planorbidae.
AUUAAAAUCUGUUAAUUUAUUUCAUCAUGGAAGAUGCAGUGUUUAGCGGAGGACUGUUACACAUUUCACAAAGCAUUUAAUCUGUUUGACUGAAUUUGUAAAGCAUCAAAUUUCAUAUAUUAUAAUUAAGUUAGAUAUAACUCUAUAACAUUUUAUAGCUUAUACAGAAACACAAAUGUUCAUUUUAACAGAGGUGCACAUUUAACAAACCUACAAAUUUAACAAAACUGUUAACUUAUUUUUUUAAAUAUUUUUUUUUUUAAGUUUCCCUUUCAAAUUUUGUGAUCCAUAAGGCAGAUGAUGUUAAGAUCUUGUUUUUAUGGCCAACGGUUAAUGAGCAUGCUGUCAUGGGGCCAGCACAUUGACCAACUGCUUUUACUUUCCCCAACUAAAGUCAGGUACCCAUUACAGGUGGAUGGACUGGGGCACCUUAAAAAUCACGAGAUUCAAAAUCCGUCUUCACUGAGAUUCGAACCCAGGACCCCAGGUUCAGAAGCCAAGCGCUUAACCACUCAGACACCGUGCCCCCAUUAACUUAUUUGAAGACACAACAAAGGUCACAUCAGCCGCACACAGUUUAGACAAGCUUUGAACAUGCUGGAAAUUCCCAUUGAG